CAGAGGGUGCAAGCGUUAAUCGGAAUUACUGGGCGUAAAGCGCGCGUAGGUGGUUUGUUAAGUUGGAUGUGAAAUCCCCGGGCUCAACCUGGGAACUGCAUUCAAAACUGACUGACUAGAGUAUGGUAGAGGGUGGUGGAAUUUCCUGUGUAGCGGUGAAAUGCGUAGAUAUAGGAAGGAACACCAGUGGCGAAGGCGACCACCUGGACUAAUACUGACACUGAGGUGCGAAAGCGUGGGGAGCAAACAGGA
This 252-nucleotide ribosomal RNA is filed under the name uncultured Pseudomonas sp. RNAcentral describes it as "partial 16S ribosomal RNA". It matches the Rfam family "Bacterial small subunit ribosomal RNA", at positions 526 to 777 of the family's 1533-position model. The record is from RNAcentral. Lineage: Bacteria; Pseudomonadati; Pseudomonadota; Gammaproteobacteria; Pseudomonadales; Pseudomonadaceae.